GUUCAAAUGUGAUCAGGCUUCAGGAGGAAGAUCCUGCAGUGAGAAUAAAGAAGAUCUUCUCCAGCUGUUCCAGAGUACCAGUAACUGCUGGGAACACGGGUUGACCCUGGAGCAUUUCAAUCAAUAUACAACCUGCACCCCUGCAAAAAAGAAAUACCAACUCAUUCAAAUUUUGUCAGCCUAUUAGGCUCCUGCCCAGUCCCCCAAAGACCCUAAUGAGGUCUUUGUCCAGGCACAGAAGUGGUCAUAGCAGAAUGAUGGAGUUACAAGGUAUUAACUGGUGCUUGAGGAAGGAGUGAAGUUGAGCAGAAGUUUACUCAGUUGUGUAAUUGUAUAGAGCAUGGGACUUUGCCUAUUUUAACUGCGGAAUGUGUUUGGAAAUGAACAGUGGUGUAAAAGAUGAGGUAUCUCAGAAGUAAA
Long non-coding RNA from Chelonia mydas (Green sea turtle), 420 nucleotides. RefSeq lists it as uncharacterized. The transcript is spliced from 3 exons. Lineage: Eukaryota; Metazoa; Chordata; Testudines; Cheloniidae. The record is from RefSeq and is a predicted model, not a curated record.